CACGAACAUAGGGGUGCAUUUGAAUUUUCCACUUUUUCAACUGUUUUUCACAUAAUUUUAACCCUUUAAUCUAUUCAAAAUCAUCAAACACUCUCUACAGUCUUCUCAUACAUGUAUUUUGCACAAAUUGAGUGAUUAUAAAACUCUCAAUAUUCUUCUAUCUACUCAAGAUUUAAAAAGAUUUAUCAAGUUCUAGCUUUAUCUUGAUGAUAUUAAUGUAGAAACAAUUCAUAUAUACAGCAUAAUAGCAUGCAUGAUACAGGACCGGAAACCGUCCAUAUUAGAUACAUUAUCUCAAAUAAAAGGUUAUUGCAGCAG
Molecule: small RNA, 318 nt
Filed under: Histoplasma capsulatum
Lineage: Eukaryota; Fungi; Ascomycota; Eurotiomycetes; Onygenales; Ajellomycetaceae
Also listed under: 1 other name
Description: hypothetical RNA
Source: RNAcentral